CUUAAUUGGGCGUUAAGUUGCAGGGUAUAGACCCGAAACCCGGUGAUCUAGCCAUGGGCAGGUUGAAGGUUGGGUAACACUAACUGGAGGACCGAACCGACUAAUGUUGAAAAAUUAGCGGAUGACCUGUGGCUGGGGGUGAAAGGCCAAUCAAACCGGGAGAUAGCUGGUUCUCCCCGAAAGCUAUUUAGGUAGCGCCUCGUGAAUUCAUCUCCGGGGGUAGAGCACUGUUUCGGCUAGGGGGCCAUCCCGGCUUACCAACCCGAUGCAAACUGCGAAUACCGGAGAAUGUUAUCACGGGAGACACACGGCGGGUGCUAACGUCCGUCGUGAAGAGGGAAACAACCCAGACCGCCAGCUAAGGUCCCAAAGUCAUGGUUAAGUGGGAAACGAUGUGGGAAGGCCCAGACAGCCAGGAUGUUGGCUUAGAAGCAGCCAUCAUUUAAAGAAAGCGUAAUAGCUCACUGGUCGAGUCGGCCUGCGCGGAAGAUGUAACGGGGCUAAACCAUGCACCGAAGCUGCGGCAGCGAACGUAUCACUUAAAGCGAUUCAGCGGGUUACGAUUGACGGAGCGAAGCGACGUCAAAGCGUAUACAAAGUCGAGUCGGUUUAAGGAUACGUUCGUUGGGUAGGGGAGCGUUCUGUAAGCCUGUGAAGGUGUGUCGUGAGGCAUGCUGGAGGUAUCAGAAGUGCGAAUGCUGACAUAAGUAACGAUAAAGCGGGUGAAAAGCCCGCUCGCCGGAAGACCAAGGGUUCCUGUCCAACGUUAAUCGGGGCAGGGUGAGUCGACCCCUAAGGCGAGGCCGAAAGGCGUAGUCGAUGGGAAACGGGUUAAUAUUCCCGUACUUGGUGUUACUGCGAAGGGGGGACGGAGAAGGCUAUGUUGGCCGGGCGACGGUUGUCCCGGUUUAAGCGUGUAGGUGUGUGUUCCAGGUAAAUCCGGUUCACUUUAACACUGAGGCGUGAUGACGAGGCACUACGGUGCUGAAGCAACAAAUGCCCUGCUUCCAGGAAAAGCCUCUAAGCAUCAGGUAACAUCAAAUCGUACCCCAAACCGACACAGGUGGUCAGGUAGAGAAUACCAAGGCGCUUGAGAGAACUCGGGUGAAGGAACUAGGCAAAAUGGUGCCGUAACUUCGGGAGAAGGCACGCUGACAUGUAGGUGAAGUGAUUUACUCAUGGAGCUGAAGUCAGUCGAAGAUACCAGCUGGCUGCAACUGUUUAUUAAAAACACAGCACUGUGCAAACACGAAAGUGGACGUAUACGGUGUGACGCCUGCCCGGUGCCGGAAGGUUAAUUGAUGGGGUCAGCGCAAGCGAAGCUCCUGAUCGAAGCCCCGGUAAACGGCGGCCGUAACUAUAACGGUCCUAAGGUAGCGAAAUUCCUUGUCGGGUAAGUUCCGACCUGCACGAAUGGCGUAAUGAUGGCCAGGCUGUCUCCACCCGAGACUCAGUGAAAUUGAACUCGCUGUGAAGAUGCAGUGUACCCGCGGCAAGACGGAAAGACCCCGUGAACCUUUACUAUAGCUUGACACUGAACAUUGAGCCUUGAUGUGUAGGAUAGGUGGGAGGCUUUGAAGCGUGGACGCCAGUCUGCGUGGAGCCGACCUUGAAAUACCACCCUUUAAUGUUUGAUGUUCUAACGUGGACCCGUGAUCCGGGUUGCGGACAGUGUCUGGUGGGUAGUUUGACUGGGGCGGUCUCCUCCUAAAGAGUAACGGAGGAGCACGAAGGUUGGCUAAUCCUGGUCGGACAUCAGGAGGUUAGUGCAAUGGCAUAAGCCAGCUUGACUGCGAGCGUGACGGCGCGAGCAGGUGCGAAAGCAGGUCAUAGUGAUCCGGUGGUUCUGAAUGGAAGGGCCAUCGCUCAACGGAUAAAAGGUACUCCGGGGAUAACAGGCUGAUACCGCCCAAGAGUUCAUAUCGACGGCGGUGUUUGGCACCUCGAUGUCGGCUCAUCACAUCCUGGGGCUGAAGUAGGUCCCAAGGGUAUGGCUGUUCGCCAUUUAAAGUGGUACGCGAGCUGGGUUUAGAACGUCGUGAGACAGUUCGGUCCCUAUCUGCCGUGGGCGCUGGAGAACUGAGGGGGGCUGCUCCUAGUACGAGAGGACCGGAGUGGACGCAUCACUGGUGUUCGGGUUGUCAUGCCAAUGGCACUGCCCGGUAGCUAAAUGCGGAAGAGAUAAGUGCUGAAAGCAUCUAAGCACGAAACUUGCCCCGA
RNAcentral lists this ribosomal RNA (2220 nucleotides) under Salmonella enterica subsp. enterica serovar Infantis. RNAcentral describes it as "partial 23S ribosomal RNA". It matches the Rfam family "Bacterial large subunit ribosomal RNA", at positions 683 to 2802 of the family's 2925-position model. Lineage: Bacteria; Pseudomonadati; Pseudomonadota; Gammaproteobacteria; Enterobacterales; Enterobacteriaceae. The record is from RNAcentral.